AUCGCUUCUCGGCCUUCUGGCUAAGAUCAAGUGUAGAUGCCUACAUUUUUUUUCUUGAGAUUUAAAUGAAAACUGGUUUCUGGCUUAAGUGUCUAAAAGAUAACAAGAUAUGGGAGGGUGGCUAAAGAUAAGUGUUUGUUUUACACUUUACUGUUCUAAUGCAAAAUUUGUAUAGAGAACCCAUA
Molecule: non-coding RNA, 185 nt
Organism: Fukomys damarensis (Damara mole-rat)
Lineage: Eukaryota; Metazoa; Chordata; Mammalia; Rodentia; Bathyergidae
Source: Rfam